AGCGAACGCUGGCGGCAGGCCUAACACAUGCAAGUCGAACGCGUGUAGCAAUACACGAGUGGCAGACGGGUGAGUAANACGUGGGAACGUGCCCUUCGGUUCGGAAUAACUCAGGGAAACUUGAGCUAAUACCGGAUACGCCCUCACGGGGAAAGAUUUAUCGCCGAAGGAUCGGCCCGCGUCUGAUUAGCUAGUUGGUGAGGUAACGGCUCACCAAGGCGACGAUCAGUAGCNGGUCUGAGAGGAUGAUCAGCCACACUGGGACUGAGACACGGCCCAGACUCCUACGGGAGGCAGCAGUGGGGAAUAUUGGGCAAUGGGGGAAACCCUGAUCCAGCCAUGCCGCGUGAGUGAUGAAGG
RNAcentral lists this ribosomal RNA (360 nucleotides) under uncultured bacterium. RNAcentral describes it as "bacterial SSU rRNA". It matches the Rfam family "Bacterial small subunit ribosomal RNA", at positions 29 to 414 of the family's 1533-position model. The record is from RNAcentral.